CAAGGAAUAUUGCGCAAUGGGCGAAAGCCUGACGCAGCGACGCCGCGUGGGGGAAGAACGCCUUCGGGUCGUAAACCCCUUUUCCUAGGGAAGAAUAAUGACGGUACCUGGGGAAUAAGCAUCGGCUAUCUACGUGCCAGCAGCCGCGGUAAUACGUAGGAUGCUAGCGUUAUCCGGAUUUAUUGGGCGUAAAGAGGGUGUAGGCGGUUUGGUAAGUCGGUUGUAAAAUCUCCUGGCUUAACUAGGAGGGACCAUCCGAUACUGCCUGACUAGAGUGCAUCAGGAGGAGAUGGAAUUCCCGGUGUAGUGGUGAAAUGCGUAGAUAUCGGGAGGAACACCAGUGGCGAAGGCGGUCUCCUAGGAUGUUACUGACGCUGUGGCCCGAAAGCGUGGGGAGCAAACAGGAUCAGAUACCCUGGUAGUCCACGCUGUAAACGAUGGGCACUAGGUAUGGGGAGUAUCGACCCUCUCCGUGCCGAAGCUAACGCUUUAAGUGCCCCGCCUGGGGACUACGGUCGCAAGACUA
Molecule: ribosomal RNA, 526 nt
Filed under: uncultured bacterium
Lineage: Bacteria
Description: bacterial SSU rRNA
Rfam family: Bacterial small subunit ribosomal RNA
Source: RNAcentral